UCUCCUUAUAAAAGGUUAAAUAUAUCACUACUGUAAGAGGAAACCCGGAGAAUAUCUUCUUUUUUUCUUUUUUCUUCUUUUUUUUUUUCAUUUUUAUCGGUACCGGGGAUCGAACUCACAACUGCCUGCUUGCAAGGCAGGUACUUAUGCCGCUGAGCUAAAUCCCCAGCCCCGGAGAAUAUCUUCUUAAACUAGGAGUCGCGAGAGAUUUCUUAAACAGGACACGGAAGUGCUAAAAAUAAAGGAAAAGGGAAAUCCACGCGUCUCUCUCUGAAGGUGACCUGGCCGCAGCCUCCCGCUCUGCCUUAGGGAUCCUUGCCUUCCUCCCAGUGGCUUGCACCCCUGCCAGGCCCUUAGCAGGACCUCCACACAGGAUUGCCUCCAUCUGAACUUCCACGCCCCAGAUCAGGUCAUGAGCAGAACUAAUGCUGAGUGUCAAAAGGAGAGUUGCUGGCCCUGUUUGAGAAGACAGAAAAACAGAGGAGUGGAAGAGAUAAUGUAGGACUGGGAGCCUGUGGGCCAGGGGAAUAAAGACAGAAAGAGCCAUGGAGACGGGAGCAAUCAUGGUGGAAGUAAAUGAAAUCAGAAGUGGAACUUGCCAUCAACUGAAAUGGGGAGGGAAUGUUGCAGACUUGGGGGGAAGUAAGAAAUGAAGUUUCAAACACCUUGUUUCUGAAAUAUGUUUUUAGGUAUCUUAGUAGAAAUGUCAAAUAGAUACUUGAAUAUUAAA
Molecule: long non-coding RNA, 730 nt
Organism: Cavia porcellus (domestic guinea pig)
Lineage: Eukaryota; Metazoa; Chordata; Mammalia; Rodentia; Caviidae
Exons: 3
Source: RefSeq, a predicted model, not a curated record